RNAcentral lists this ribosomal RNA (403 nucleotides) under Fusobacteriota bacterium. RNAcentral describes it as "Fusobacteria bacterium partial 16S ribosomal RNA". It matches the Rfam family "Bacterial small subunit ribosomal RNA", at positions 355 to 776 of the family's 1533-position model. Lineage: Bacteria; Fusobacteriati; Fusobacteriota. The record is from RNAcentral.
UGGGGAAUAUUGCACAAUGGGGGAAACCCUGAUGCAGCGACGCCGCGUGAGCGAAGAAGGUUUUCGAAUCGUACAGCUCUGUCCUAUGGGAAGAUAAUGACGGUACCAUAGGAGGAAGCCCCGGCUAACUACGUGCCAGCAGCCGCGGUAAUACGUAGGGGGCAAGCGUUGUCCGGAAUCACUGGGCGUAAAGGGUUCGCAGGCGGAAAUGCAAGUCAGUUGUGAAAGGCAGAGGCUCAACCUCUGUAAGCAAUUGAAACUGUAUUUCUUGAGAUGUGGAGAGGCAAGUGGAAUUCCUAGUGUAGCGGUGAAAUGCGUAGAUAUUAGGAAGAAUACCGGUGGCGAAGGCGACUUGCUGGACACAAACUGACGCUGAGGAACGAAAGCGUGGGUAGCAAACAGG